UGCGUAGGCGGUCUUUUAAGUCAGGAGUGAAAGGCUACGGCUCAACCGUAGUAAGCUCUUGAAACUGGAGGACUUGAGUGCAGGAGAGGAGAGUGGAAUUCCUAGUGUAGCGGUGAAAUGCGUAGAUAUUAGGAGGAACACCAGUAGCGAAGGCGGCUCUCUGGACUGUAACUGACACUGAGGCACGAAAGCGUGGGGAGCAAACA
This 206-nucleotide ribosomal RNA is filed under the name uncultured bacterium. RNAcentral's name for it is "partial 16S ribosomal RNA". It matches the Rfam family "Bacterial small subunit ribosomal RNA", at positions 568 to 774 of the family's 1533-position model. The record is from RNAcentral.